AACCUACAAAAAUCAGCCUUUCCUUGCAGCAUCUCUUUUUGGACCCUCUCUCCCUUCUCGUGUAGGUUUGUGGUGGCAGCACCGUGGCCCUUCCCAGCAAACCUGGGAUGUAACGGCGAUGCCGCAGCCCCCGGACAGCCCAGGGCUCGCUCGGCCCCUGGCUCCGGCUGCACAGAGGCUUCGGUGGAGACUGGAGACGGGGAUCUGCAUUGCGAAUAUUCGGCUGCGGCUGCCAUCUGGCUGCUGAGAGGGCUCUUGCACGGGCAGCAUGCAUCCCGCCAUGGCCAGGAUUGUUCAGGCAGACACCGGGGAGGCUGCGCUCCCCCCAGUCUGGUAACGGCUCCUCUUCCUCCCCCCGAUCUGGUAACGGCUCCUUUUCCAAGGCUCAGGUGGGUGCUGAAAGGUUGCAGCAAGAUGCCGAGUAACGCUUGUGACAUGGUGUCCGGCUAGGACAACACUAUUGAUUUGGAGUUGGCCAGCCUGGAUGCCACGCAGAGAGCACCAGGCAACCCCCUCUGAUGCUCCCCUGUCCUCUCGAGGACAAGUCCUUCCAUAUUUCCAGCCAGAACCUCUCUUUCAGCUGUAAUCUUCCAGCACCCACCUGCCACCAGUCCCCAACCUCCCCCUCGAACAAAUUUCCUGGGGUUUACAGGCUACUAACUGCUCCUGAUGAAUGGUAGGAUAUUGCAAAUCUAAACAGGGCUGAGUCAAAUGGGUAAUUAUCAGUCUUUUUUCUCACACUGGGGUUUUUUUUUGCCUUGUGAUGAUGAUUUCUGCUGUCAGAGACAAGAUGCUGCAGGUCUUGGAGGCACUGGGGCAGGUUCAGUCCUCGUUGCACUGCCUGUGAAAUUAAGUGGGUCACAAAAAAAUUAGUUGGACAGAUUCAAGCAGCAAAGACCUGCGGAGAGGUCAUCCUGGCAAACCACUCAGGGCAUGGUACACAGCCUGGGCUUUGACUCUGUCCAUUUUGCUGGAAAUAAGUUGCUGUUGCUUAUCCUGAUGUUUGAUUGUGUUUUAUUAAGGAAUGUAAACAAAUUAUUUCUGCUCAGAAACAUCAGAACCAGAAAAGCAUUAUUAGCAGACGUAUAGUAUUGCCCUUUCUUAACAGGUAUUUCUGCCUCUUAGUUGAGGCUUGGAAGGAAUACUCGUAAUGAAGGAGGAGUUCUAAC
Molecule: long non-coding RNA, 1169 nt
Filed under: Athene cunicularia (burrowing owl)
Lineage: Eukaryota; Metazoa; Chordata; Aves; Strigiformes; Strigidae
Description: lncRNA (ENSACUG00000003812.1)
Source: RNAcentral